Tyto alba (common barn owl) is the source of this 1786-nucleotide long non-coding RNA. RefSeq lists it as uncharacterized. The record is from RefSeq and is a predicted model, not a curated record. NCBI's taxonomy places the organism in Eukaryota, Metazoa, Chordata, Aves, Strigiformes, Tytonidae. The transcript is spliced from 2 exons.
UAUUCUGGUACGAUAAGUUUGCCUUCAGGUUUAUCUUGCUUUUCAGUCUGGAGAUACAAAUAUAUAAAUGUAGUAGAAAUUUAUAGGUACGUAGAAGCGAAAACAGAAGAUAGAUUUGUUAUAAAUUUCUUUCAACUAUAAUCAAGAAAGCAAGCACCAAGGGAAAUUGGUAUUAAGAACAGGUCAAGAAAUCUGGAUAAAAGAGAAAUUCAAUUUAUCCAAAUCAGUUGUCAAAACUCUGCUUGAUAUCAAAAUGUUGUCUGCUUUUUGUUUUUUGUUGUUUGUUUGUUUUUUUUUUUUUUUUUUAAAAGGAAUUGCUGAAAUUUCUCAGCCAACACUUUGCGCAAAUGUACAGGUUUGGGAGACUCACAUUCAUUUUAGCAAGGCACUUUCUGUGCUCCAUUAUUUUAAUAGGAACUUCCUAUAAUCAAAGGAUUGAUUGUUCCCUGGGUCAUUCGUGACUCUGAAUUUCACUGAUCCUGGCAUGAACUUUUGAAGGUAUUUGAGUGUGGCCUCCUAGUCUCAGUGUGAAAAGUAUUCACGGCCAAAUAAAUGAACUCUCGAAGUCUUCUUGCGGCACUAGAUUAUAACAGAUUAAAACCCGAACCACACUUUUUAUAGACAGCCCCCUCUUUUUAAAAGUUAUUCCAGAGUUCAAAGUCCUGGUCAUAAAUCUCAUGGCAUUAUAGGACAUGUAUUACCCAGAGGAAAGCACAAAUCAAUAGCCAGACCCCGAUGUCUCCAUAAACCCCAUAUGUGCCCUGUUUAUAGCAGUGAAAUUUCUUACACUUUGGCUGGGGUGCUUCUCCCAUACAGUGGGAUUUCAGUACAAAUUCAUACUUCUGGCAGCAACGCAAGGCCAGGCAAUAUUAGCAAAUUUUGUGCUGGUAGGAUGAGGUUCCUGAUGAGUAUUUUCUCAUUGACUAAAAAUUUCUAUUAUUCUUAUCAGCUGUUCAGUUUGCUGAUACAGAGUGUUUCAGAGCAACUGGUUUUACCAGCCGUGUUACAUUUUCUUUGAGAGGUUCUUUCCUCAGGUAAAGACUCCACACUGGAUUUCCUUUGUUUGAAAGGAAAAUAGAUUUUCUGUCUUUGGAGAAAAUGGAGAAUCUCUGAAGAACUUGAAAAAUACAAAAUUAGCGGGAGAGCGUUUCUAGCAGUUGUAAGACAAGUUUGUAGUUCUAUAAAAGCAAAAAUCCCAACACAAUGGCAAUUACGGGUACUCUGAUGAACGCAUAUUUACCGAGCUGUGUAAUGUUUCCCGCGUUUAUCUCCUAGUACUUCUGAGAUACAUGAAUGGUCAGGGCUGAACUGCCUUGACUUCAAAGGUUGGAAUAUUUUACAGCUUCAUCUGCUGAAUCAUGUUGGUUUUGCUCCACUUCUGCAGAGGCGCCGCCUGCAAAAGCCACAUUUUUUUGCUUUUCUGCCCAUCCACACCUUGUCUCUUCUUCACCUUCCCUCUUCCCCAGAAGCUGUACAGCUUCAGAGCAUGUCCUGGUAAUCCAGACACCGACAGACACUGGCCAAGAUCCUAAUCCAAACCCAGAUCUAAAUUAUCCAGCUGCAUUUACACUAAUAAUAAUAAUAAUAAUAAUAAUAAAAAACCCUAAUGUGUUUUGCCUAUGUUUAGCAAAUAACACCGCAGGCUAAAUUGCCAGCUCCAGAUACCCCCAGAUUUAACGAGUUGGUAAUUUGAUGUUGAAACUUGGGAAAUUUUGAUAAAUGGGGAUGCUGCUGUCAGUGCCGGGAGCUGUAGAAUUUAUGGAUGAAAUGGGAUUUUAUCAGCGAC